RNAcentral lists this transfer RNA (84 nucleotides) under Desmophyllum pertusum. Its description in RNAcentral is "tRNA-Cys". The record is from RNAcentral. Lineage: Eukaryota; Metazoa; Cnidaria; Anthozoa; Scleractinia; Caryophylliidae.
CCUUGGUUAGCUCAGUUGGUUGGGCGCCAGACUGCAGAGCGGGAAGUCGUGGGUUCAAAUCCCGGCCGGACCAACAACCAGGGU